UGGGGAAUAUUGCACAAUGGGCGCAAGCCUGAUGCAGCCAUGCCGCGUGUAUGAAGAAGGCCUUCGGGUUGUAAAGUACUUUCAGUCGGGAGGAAGGUGGUAAGGUUAAUAACCUUGGCAAUUGACGUUACCGACAGAAGAAGCACCGGCUAACUCCGUGCCAGCAGCCGCGGUAAUACGGAGGGUGCAAGCGUUAAUCGGAAUUACUGGGCGUAAAGCGCACGCAGGCGGUUGAUUGAGUCAGAUGUGAAAUCCCCGGGCUUAACCCGGGAAUUGCAUCUGAUACUGGUCAGCUAGAGUCUUGUAGAGGAGGGUAGAAUUCCAUGUGUAGCGGUGAAAUGCGUAGAGAUGUGGAGGAAUACCGGUGGCGAAGGCGGCCCCCUGGACAAAGACUGACGCUCAGGUGCGAAAGCGUGGGGAGCAAACAGG
Molecule: ribosomal RNA, 429 nt
Filed under: Chloroflexota bacterium
Lineage: Bacteria; Bacillati; Chloroflexota
Description: Chloroflexi bacterium partial 16S ribosomal RNA
Rfam family: Bacterial small subunit ribosomal RNA
Source: RNAcentral